This 853-nucleotide ribosomal RNA is filed under the name Hebeloma plesiocistum. Its description in RNAcentral is "eukaryotic LSU rRNA". It matches the Rfam family "Eukaryotic large subunit ribosomal RNA", at positions 82 to 920 of the family's 3401-position model. Lineage: Eukaryota; Fungi; Basidiomycota; Agaricomycetes; Agaricales; Hymenogastraceae. The record is from RNAcentral.
AGUAACUGCGAGUGAAGCGGGAAAAGCUCAAAUUUAAAAUCUGGCGGUCUCCGGCCGUCCGAGUUGUAAUCUAGAGAAGUGUUAUCCGCGCUGGACCGUGUACAAGUCUCCUGGAAUGGAGCGUCAUAGAGGGUGAGAAUCCCGUCUUUGACACGGACUACCAGGGCUUUGUGAUGCGCUCUCAAAGAGUCGAGUUGUUUGGGAAUGCAGCUCAAAAUGGGUGGUAAAUUCCAUCUAAAGCUAAAUAUUGGCGAGAGACCGAUAGCGAACAAGUACCGUGAGGGAAAGAUGAAAAGAACUUUGGAAAGAGAGUUAAACAGUACGUGAAAUUGCUGAAAGGGAAACGCUUGAAGUCAGUCGCGUUGGCCGGGGAUCAACCUUGCUUUUGCUGGGCGUACUUUCCGGUUGACGGGUCAGCAUCAAUUUUGACCGUUGGAUAAAGUCCAGGGGAAUGUGGCAUCUUCGGAUGUGUUAUAGCCCUUGGUCGCAUACAACGGUUGGGAUUGAGGAACUCAGCACGCCGCAAGGCCGGGUACUUGUACCACGUUCGUGCUUAGGAUGCUGGCAUAAUGGCUUUAAUCGACCCGUCUUGAAACACGGACCAAGGAGUCUAACAUGCCUGCGAGUGUUUGGGUGGAAAACUCGGACGCGUAAUGAAAGUGAAAGUUGAGAUCCCUGUCGUGGGGAGCAUCGACGCCCGGACCAGACCUUUUGUGACGGAUCCGCGGUAGAGCAUGUAUGUUGGGACCCGAAAGAUGGUGAACUAUGCCUGAAUAGGGUGAAGCCAGAGGAAACUCUGGUGGAGGCUCGUAGCGAUUCUGACGUGCAAAUCGAUCGUCAAAUUUGGGUAUAG